This 319-nucleotide ribosomal RNA is filed under the name uncultured Pseudomonadota bacterium. Its description in RNAcentral is "bacterial SSU rRNA". It matches the Rfam family "Bacterial small subunit ribosomal RNA", at positions 28 to 351 of the family's 1533-position model. The record is from RNAcentral. Lineage: Bacteria; Pseudomonadati; Pseudomonadota.
AUUGAACGCUGGCGGUAUGCUUAACACAUGCAAGUCGAACGGUAGCAGGCCUUCGGGCGCUGACGAGUGGCGGACGGGUGAGUAACGCGUAGGAAUCUGCCUGGUAGUGGGGGACAACCUGGGGAAACUCAGGCUAAUACCGCAUGAGCUCGGGAGAGGAAAGCGGGGGAUCUUCGGACCUCGCGCUGGUGGACGAGCCUACGUCCGAUUAGCUGGUUGGUGGGGUAACGGCCCACCAAGGCGACGAUCGGUAGCGGGUCUGAGAGGACGACCCGCCACACUGGGACUGAGACACGGCCCAGACUCCUACGGGAGGCUG